RNAcentral lists this ribosomal RNA (507 nucleotides) under uncultured bacterium. Its description in RNAcentral is "partial 16S ribosomal RNA". It matches the Rfam family "Bacterial small subunit ribosomal RNA", at positions 28 to 507 of the family's 1533-position model. The record is from RNAcentral.
GACGAACGCUGGCGGCGUGCCUAAUACAUGCAAGUCGAACGCAUUUUCUUUCACCGUAGCUUGCUACACCGAAAGAAAAUGAGUGGCGAACGGGUGAGUAACACGUGGGUAACCUGCCCAUCAGCGGGGGAUAACACUUGGAAACAGGUGCUAAUACCGCAUAAUUCCAUUUACCGCAUGGUAAAUGGAUGAAAGGCGCUUUUGCGUCCCGGAUGGAUGGACCCGCGGUGCAUUAGCUAGUUGGUGGGGUAAGGGCCUACCAAGGCGGCGAUGCAUAGCCGACCUGAGAGGGUGAUCGGCCACACUGGGACUGAGACACGGCCCAGACUCCUACGGGAGGCAGCAGUAGGGAAUCUUCGGCAAUGGACGCAAGUCUGACCGAGCAACGCCGCGUGAUUGAAGAAGGUUUUCGGAUCGUAAAACUCUGUUGUUAGAGAAGAACAAGGAUGAGAGUGGAAAGUUCAUCCCUUGACGGUAUCUAACCAGAAAGCCACGGCUAACUACGUG